UCCAGCCCUCAGGGAACGGACAGACCUCCUUUAGUAUUCCAUCUGAUUUCCAUCAUCAGUCAGAAGGACUUUAAAACCACUGGAGAAACCGCCUUUUGCCCUAAAGCUCUAACAACGCCCCCCUCGCUCCCCACCCCCGCAAUGUCUCCUGUGCACAUUCAGUGCGUGUUCGUGUUUGUGCGUGUGUAUGUGUGAGCAUCCUGAGCUGCCUGCGCUUGUUUCAGAGAAACCCUUCCCCCGCCGCCCAGUUCUCUAGCAAACUAUUACCUUGUUCUGACAAGUCGACUUAAGACUAUUUAAUGCCGAAAAGCACUUGAGCGAUAGGAUACAGCCGUCAAGGUAGGACGUGGAGCUUGCGAAGACAAUUUGGCUCAAAUUCCUCCAUUAGGAAAAUGCACGAUACGGCUUUGGCUGCCCUCGGGAUCCGGGCUGAAAGGGAAAGAGCCCGAGGCCCUCCGCUGGGCUUAGCUGGCUGGAAAGGAGCAAGUCUGGCACGGGUCGGACCCUCGGGAGGAACCUAUAUCCCCGGUUCGGAGACUGGGCUGCUUUGAAGUCCACUCUGCCUGCAGCUUCCAGAUGGUCCCGAGGGAUGGAAGUAUCUGGUGCACCGUAGGAUCCAAAGGCGAAUGAAUAACCUUAUUUUCAAAUGCUGUUCUGGGCCGGUUUUUGACUUUUUAAGACCUAUCUUUUUGUGGUUUGGGUUUUUUGUUGUUUUGGUUUUGUUGUGGGGUUUAUGUUUGGUUGGUUGUUUGUUUUAUUCUUCCAGCGUCUGCAUACUUUUCAGAGCACUUAUUUGAGCAUAACUUAUAUUUUUCCUGAAGCAGAUAGGGAAAUGGUGUGUUUUCUCAUGGAAAAAAAAUAAAAUUAAAUAAUCUGCUAAGUCUGCUUUUGUA
Molecule: long non-coding RNA, 893 nt
Organism: Pogoniulus pusillus (Red-fronted tinkerbird)
Lineage: Eukaryota; Metazoa; Chordata; Aves; Piciformes; Lybiidae
Exons: 2
Source: RefSeq, a predicted model, not a curated record